This 440-nucleotide ribosomal RNA is filed under the name uncultured bacterium. Its description in RNAcentral is "partial 16S ribosomal RNA". It matches the Rfam family "Bacterial small subunit ribosomal RNA", at positions 338 to 795 of the family's 1533-position model. The record is from RNAcentral.
CCUACGGGUGGCAGCAGUGGGGAAUAUUGCACAAUGGGGGAAACUCUGAUGCAGCGACGCCGCGUGAGUGAAGACGUAAUUCGUUAUUGAAAGCUCUAUCUGCAUGGAAGUAAAUGACGGUACCUGAGUAAGAAGCUCCGUCUAACUACGUGCCAGCAGCCGCGGUAAUACGUAGGGGGCAAGCGUUAUCCGGAUUUACUGGGUGUAAAGGGAGCGUAGACGGCAGUGUAAGUCUGGAGUGAAGGGCGGGGGCUCAACCCCAGGAUUGCCCUGGAAACUGUACGGCUGGAGUACAGGAGAGGUGAGUGGAAUUCCUAGUGUAGCGGUGAAAUGCGUAGAUAUUAGGAGGAACACCAGUGGCGAAGGCGGCUUACUGGACUGUAACUGACAUUGAGGCUCGAAAGCGUGGGGAGCAAACAGGAUUAGAUACCCCUGUAGUC